RNAcentral lists this transfer RNA (73 nucleotides) under Candidatus Pacearchaeota archaeon CG1_02_31_27. RNAcentral's name for it is "tRNA-Met". It matches the Rfam family "tRNA". Rfam says of the family: Transfer RNA (tRNA) molecules are approximately 80 nucleotides in length. Their secondary structure includes four short double-helical elements and three loops (D, anti-codon, and T loops). Lineage: Archaea; Nanobdellati. The record is from RNAcentral. RNAcentral also lists the same sequence under 2 other names.
GCCGGUUUAACUCAGUUGGUAGAGUGCUGCUCUCAUAAGGCAGAUGUCCUGGGUUCGACUCCCAGAACCGGCA